RNAcentral lists this ribosomal RNA (440 nucleotides) under human gut metagenome. Its description in RNAcentral is "bacterial LSU rRNA". It matches the Rfam family "Bacterial large subunit ribosomal RNA", at positions 2491 to 2925 of the family's 2925-position model. The record is from RNAcentral.
CCCAAGAGUUCAUAUCGACGGCGGUGUUUGGCACCUCGAUGUCGGCUCAUCUCAUCCUGGGGCUGUAGCCGGUCCCAAGGGUAUGGCUGUUCGCCAUUUAAAGAGGUACGUGAGCUGGGUUUAAAACGUCGUGAGACAGUUUUGUCCCUAUCUGCCGUGGGCGUUGGAAGAUUGACGGGGGCUGCUCCUAGUACGAGAGGACCGGAGUGGACUCACCUCUGGUGUACCGGUUGUCACGCCAGUGGCAUCGCCGGGUAGCUAUGUGGGGAAAGGAUAACCGCUGAAAGCAUCUAAGCGGGAAACCUGCCUGAAGAUAAGUCUUCCUGGAGGCUUUGACCUCCCUGAAGAGUCGUUCGAGACCAGGACGUUGAUAGGUUGGAUGUGCAAGCGCUGUGAGGCGUUGAGCUGACCAAUACUAAUUGCUCGUGAAGCUUGAUCCU